Long non-coding RNA from Homo sapiens (human), 374 nucleotides. Lineage: Eukaryota; Metazoa; Chordata; Mammalia; Primates; Hominidae. The record is from Ensembl.
CCGAGAUCCUACCUUGCCUCUGAGUGUCAUAGUCUGAGAAGAUGUGGGCUACAGACUCAGAUACUGUAGCUGAGGUACAGGUACAGGUACUCCAGGUCUCCCCUCUCUCCUGCUCUGGAUGUGGGCUACAGACUCAGGUGUCAUCACUGAAGCCUGUGUAGGGGCUCUGGACCCUGGACACCCUCCUUUGGCCAUCCUCUUCCUCACAGAGGGUCUGUGUGAUUCUGGGGCCACAGGCACCAAACAGCUCUGAGGAAGGAGUUGGGAGGCAGGCUGACCUCACAAUGAAUGCUGAGCGAGCUGCAAGCUGGGUUUGUUUUCCUUUCUCGCCUCCCUUCUUCCCUGAUUAAUAAAGUCUAUAGGAAUGGUUUCAA